This 253-nucleotide ribosomal RNA is filed under the name uncultured bacterium. RNAcentral's name for it is "partial 16S ribosomal RNA". It matches the Rfam family "Bacterial small subunit ribosomal RNA", at positions 524 to 776 of the family's 1533-position model. The record is from RNAcentral.
AACGUAGGUUCCGAGCGUUAUCCGGAUUUACUGGGCGUAAAGCGCGUGUAGGCGGCUUGGCAAGUUGGAUGUGAAAGCCCACGGCUCAACCGUGGAAGCGCAUCCAAAACUGCUUCGCUCGAGUCUCGGAGAGGAAGGUGGAAUGCUUGGUGUAGAGGUGAAAUUCGUAGAUAUCAAGCAGAACACCUGCGGCGAAGGCGGCCUUCUGGACGAUGACUGACGCUGAGACGCGAAAGCGUGGGGAGCAAACAGG